CUGGCUCAGGACGAACGCUGGCGGCAUGCCUAACACAUGCAAGUCGAACGGAGUAAUGACUUCGGUUAUACUUAGUGGCGAACGGGUGAGUAACACGUGAAUAAUCUGCCCUGUACGAUGGGAUAACAGCUGGAAACGGCUGCUAAUACCGUAUAUGACCACGCCGAGGCAUCUCGGAGGGGUGAAAGCGCUUAAGCGGUACAGGAUGAGUUCGCGUCCAAUUAGCUAGUUGGUGAGGUAACGGCCCACCAAGGCGACGAUUGGUAGCCGACCUGGGAGGGUGAUCGGCCACACUGGAACCGAGACACGGCCCAGACUCCUACGGGAGGCAGCAGUAGGGAAUCUUCCGCAAUGGACGAAAGUCUGACGGAGCAACGCCGCGUGAAGUGAUGAAGGUCUUCGGAUCGUAAAACUCUGUUGUCAGGGAAGAACAAGUUGUGUUCUAACAGGACAUGACCUUGACGGUACCUGACCAGAAAGCCCCGGCUAACUACGUGCCAGCCGCGGC
RNAcentral lists this ribosomal RNA (508 nucleotides) under uncultured bacterium. Its description in RNAcentral is "bacterial SSU rRNA". It matches the Rfam family "Bacterial small subunit ribosomal RNA", at positions 19 to 518 of the family's 1533-position model. The record is from RNAcentral.